Molecule: long non-coding RNA, 844 nt
Filed under: Triticum aestivum (bread wheat)
Lineage: Eukaryota; Viridiplantae; Streptophyta; Magnoliopsida; Poales; Poaceae
Description: long non-coding RNA (TAES_LNC026553)
Source: RNAcentral
CAGCAUUCCUUUUCCAAGGUAGCAUGGAUUCGGGAACUUAUUCAUCAGACUAAUUAGAGAAUAUUUUUACUAAUCUGGGCUGGAUAACGUGGCGGCUCGAGUGACUAGGGGCGGCGUGGCUGCUAGAUGCAGAACAGCGGUGGAUGCUGGAGCUUGAAGGGUCCAGAUCCGUGCGCGGUAGGGGUUGGGGAGGCGGAUCCAGAGAUGGGCGACGAGGAAAGGGUCGCUGGUGACGAUGAGGAAGGCCGGAGCGCGUCUUCCCAGGUGGAUCCAUGGCAUCCGCGACUCCUGGGCAUAAAGGAGACAUGGAGGUGAGGGACAGAAGGAGGCGCUGUGCGGCGACCUUACGUAUUGAAAGUUCACUUCACAAAUCUGGAGAACUAGCUGUAACCCCCUUCUCAUAUCCUUGCACAGGUAAGCAACGAAGUUUGUUUUGGUGAUUUUUGCCUUCUUUGAUUGAUACUUUUGAAGCAUCAAUGGGUCUCAUUUGUUUGUCAAUUCGUCAGUUUACUGUAGCCUAUAUAGCUGUUGCCGACAGUAGACUAUAUUUGAUUGACAAGCAACACAUCAUGCACUCCUACAUACAUGGAUUCUGUUUGUACUUGACAGCAACAGACUACUCCAAUGUAUGAAUAUGUUUGUUUAAAAAUGGCAGAAUAUGUAUGAAUAUUAACUUCAUACAUGGAGUAAAUUCGUAAAAGAUGUAUGGGAUGAGUUUACUGAUAAAAAAAGAAUACAGAAUGCCUGAAUGACCCCGAUGUACCCAGCUCUCACCGCCAUAUAGCUAGCACAAGAGCUUAAAAGCAAAGUGCCAGCAUGCCUCAUACAUGUUCCAAGAUAAACU